GAGCUGCAUUCAAGGAACGCUUCUUUGUCUAGAAAUAAGUAUCACAUCUCCAUUGACCUCCACGCCUACUGAUGAGGUAGGUUUCUUAUGUGAGAGGCUGGUUAAAAGAUGCAUUCAGGAAUCGCGUAUUAGCCAGAGAUGUGUUCAGCGCGUGUCCACUGCAACUUGAUACCUGCUGUUGAGAUCUCUCAGACACUCUGCAGUCUAUCACCAGAGGCUCUCCAAGGUGAACGGUCAGGGUAAACCAAGCCACCCUGCUCUGUAAGCCUGUUUCUCGCCAUGAACACCAGACUGAAACACUGAAAUUCUCUUAGAAACUCCCAUCAACAAUGAAAUCACCGGGAUCCCUGGGUGGCGCAGCAGUUUGGCACCUGCCUUUGGCCCAGGGCGCGAUCCUGGAGACCCGGGAUCGAAUCCCACGUCGGG
Long non-coding RNA from Canis lupus familiaris (dog), 426 nucleotides. RefSeq lists it as uncharacterized. NCBI's taxonomy places the organism in Eukaryota, Metazoa, Chordata, Mammalia, Carnivora, Canidae. The record is from RefSeq and is a predicted model, not a curated record. The transcript is spliced from 3 exons.